CCAGACUCCUACGGGAGGCAGCAGUGGGGAAUAUUGCACAAUGGGGGGAACCCUGAUGCAGCGACGCCGCGUGAGUGAAGAAGUAUUUCGGUAUGUAAAGCUCUAUCAGCAGGGAAGAAAAUGACGGUACCUGACUAAGAAGCCCCGGCUAACUACGUGCCAGCAGCCGCGGUAAUACGUAGGGGGCAAGCGUUAUCCGGAUUUACUGGGUGUAAAGGGAGCGCAGACGGCUGCGCAAGUCUGGAGUGAAAGGCGGGGGCCCAACCCCCGGACUGCUCUGGAAACUGGAAAGCUGGAGUGGAGGAGAGGGAAGGGGAAUUCCCAGUGGAGCGGUGAAAUGCGUAGAUAUUAGGAGGAACACCAGUGGCGAAGGGGGCUUACUGGGCUGCAACUGACGUUGAGGCUCGAAAGCGGGGGGAGCAAAGAGGAUUAGAUACCCUAGUAGC
This 446-nucleotide ribosomal RNA is filed under the name uncultured bacterium. Its description in RNAcentral is "bacterial SSU rRNA". It matches the Rfam family "Bacterial small subunit ribosomal RNA", at positions 331 to 794 of the family's 1533-position model. The record is from RNAcentral.